This is a long non-coding RNA of Bubalus bubalis (water buffalo), 3151 nucleotides long. RefSeq lists it as uncharacterized. The record is from RefSeq and is a predicted model, not a curated record. The transcript is spliced from 2 exons. NCBI's taxonomy places the organism in Eukaryota, Metazoa, Chordata, Mammalia, Artiodactyla, Bovidae.
AAUCCCUUGGGCUUCUUGUGAAAAUGCAGGUCCUGAUUCAGCAGGUCUGGGGCAAAAGGAGGCUGUGGUCCAAACACCAGCCCCCCCAAGUGAUGCAGAAGCUGCUGGUCCCCAGACUGUGCUUUGAGUAGCAAGGGCUGAGAAGAGGACUCGACUCGUAAUACACAUGUCCUAGAAGUUGUUACUACCACCAAAAGUGACUCAUCCAGUCCCCCUGUGAUGAAUGUCUAGAGUUUCCCGUCUUUCACUCUUACAAACAGGGCUGCAGUGCAUAUGUCCUUGGACCCUUGAGUGAGUGUAACUCUAGAAACAGUUCCUAAAAGUGACAUUGUCUGUUUGUAGUUUUGAUCAGUAUUGUCAAUUUGCCCUCCUGAGAGGUCAUUCCAUUUGUACAAGGGCACCGGUGCCCCUUCUUUGUUGGAAGGAAGAUGCUCAGUUGUUCAGUCGUAUCCAACUCUGUGUGGCCCCAUGGACUGUAGCCUGCCAGGCUCCUCUGCCCUUGGAAUUUUACAGGCAAGAAUACUGGUGUGGUGUUUCCUCCUCCAGGGGAUCUUCCUGACCCAGGGAUCAAACAUGCAUCCUCCGCAGCGGCAGGCGUAUUCUUCAUCAGCUUUCAAACCUACCUGUCUUGGCUAAUCCGAUAGAUGACACAUGGGAUCUCAUAGUUUUGCUUUGCUUUUCUCUCCUCUGAGUGAGGCUGAGCCCUUCCUCUAAAUUUGCCAUUUCCUCCUUGUCUGUCUCCUCUGUCCAUUGCUUGCAGAGGGUGUUGGGCUUUUUCUGCUUUACAUUUUAGGGACAUUUGGUCCUUUGUGAUUGAGCUGUAAAUAUUGUUCCAGUUUUUACUUUUUCUUUUACUGUGGUUAAUGCUGGGUUUUGCCAAGUAGAUUUAGACAGCAUAGAUACAUUUUAUCAUUUUUUCUCCAGAAUUAUCUAUGGCCACAUGCUAUAUGGGAAUGGUCACAGAGUUUAGGGCCACGCCUGUCUUCUUUCCAGUCUAGUCUUCUUCCUACUGACGGUUUUCCCAAGCUUCCCUCCCACCCUAAACUUUCCUUCCCCUUUCCGUGCCCCUAACACUUUAUAGUGGGGUCCUAGAAGGUACUGUAGUUUCCUGUUGUUCUAUACCUGAUUGGCAAGCUAUGCAUGGUGGACCAAAUUCAGCCUCCAAGCUGUUUUGGGGUGCCUGUGAGCUAAGAAUAGUUUUCAAAUUUUUAAAUGGCUGAGAAAAAAUUUUUAAAGACUAUUUUGUGACAUAAAAGUAUAUGAGAUCUACAUUUUGGUGUCCAUAAAUAAAGUUUUAGUAUUCCACAGUCAUACUAACUGGUUUAUGCCAUCACCCGAGCCUGCUUUCGUGCUGUAACAACACAGUGACGCUGUGGCCCAGAAAUCUGGAAAUACUAUUUGCAGAAAUGCUGUUUAUAGAAGGAGUUUGCCACUACCAGAAUUUCUCAAACCGUGUUCUGUGAGGAAUCAUGACCAGUUACGUGCAAGAAAGGCUAGGCUGGAUGAACUAAGCAGGUUUCACUGCAGGACUUAUCAGAGCCUUUAUUUUGCCAAUGCCCAUUGUGAAUCUCCUGAUAGGGUCAACAGCGUAGAUGAAUUCCAAACUUAUUUGGCAAUAGGUUCAUUCAGGUCUUCUUUGUUCUUAAAAGUCCCUGUGGAACAUAUUGGGUAUGGGGCACAAAUGAGGCUGAGGGAGACUUGAUUGCUUUCUUCAGAGUGACCUUUUCCCUGAACUUGUGGAUACGGGUUUGACCUGCUAAUUUGACCUCAGUGGGUCUGGUGCUCCUCUGUCCUGCCUACCCUUCUGGCUCAGGAUGGCUUAGGUUUGGUUUUUCUCUUAAGGGACACUCAACCCAGUGUCAAGCCUGCCAACCCCUUUCUCCCCCACACCCAGGGUCUUUGUCCCCCACCUUUUGCUGAGGCUUGGCAUUUAUUGAGGUGUCAUAGCCCGAUGGUUAGAGCCUGGGCUCAGGAGCUGGCUAACUCCUCAGGUUUGAGUCCCAGCUCUGCUGUUUCUAGCCACAUGACACAGGGUGAGUCACUUAAUGUCCCUCAUCUGGAAAAUGGGGUUAAUAAUAGCUUCCACCUCUCAGGGUGGUUGUGAAGGAUUAGAUGAGCUCAUGCCAGUGAAAAGCUUAAUUGCUUAACAUGUGGUAGCUGCUAAGCACAAAGUAAGUGCUUUCUGCCAUUGUCUCCUAUAAUCCUCACCAUUACCAGUUGGGUGGAUGCUAUUAUUAACAUCUCCAUGGGACAGGCGAGGGAACUGAGGCCCCUGAGGGGUGUUGAGUCUCUAUAUUCCAUCAGCUGCCUCCAUGCAGGAGGAGUAUAGCCUAGUGGCCGCAAGAUGCUGUCUAGAGUUAGGGUAAGGGUCUGAUGCCGGGCCCCUGACUUGGCGCCUCACCUCCUCCCCUCCUAAUGGGGCCCUGGGGCCGGGCAUGGAUGCUGCCGCCCUGGGACCUGACUUGUCCAGGUGCUGUGCACACUGAGGCAGCAAGUUUGGUCUGGUUGCCCGAGUCAGAGAAGGCCCACCCACCCACACCAUCUGGGAGGGGCAGAAUAUUCAGUGGGCAGCUGGGCAUGUGAGUUUUUGGAUCUUUGAAGGGGGGAUGAGAUAAGAAGCGAGAGAGCCCAGCAUUUCUGAGACCACAGGCUCCUGGCUGGGAAACUUUUCCUCCACGGGGUUCCUUCUGUAUCAGAAUCCUCAGGGUGGCAGGCACAUUGAACAUACAGAUUCCCAGGCUCCAUCCCCAGACCCUCUGAUGGCGAGUCCCCGAAGAUGGGCCCAGGAAUCUGCCUUUUCUCACAAGCUCCUCAGUAACUUGGAAUCUGGCCCAGUGAUAAGAUUCUGGUGAAGUCAUGCCCUGUGUUUUGGGGUACGCUGUUUAUAAGAUGGUGCUCAGGCUGGCCACAUCUAAACGGGACCUCCAGCUUCCUGACCGCCCCAGAGCUCCAAGACCAGAAGGGCCCCUUCUUCACCCACCCACCCACCUCUGCCUUCUGGAGGCAGACUCGGGCUCGUGCUGGACUUCUAUGUACAUAAAGGGCCUCGGGCUUCUCUCCAGGGCCGCAAGAGUACAUAUCCCUAUUCUUGAUCAUCCCAGAUGGGAUCAAAUGGGAUUGCGAGGCACUUAAAGGAUUGAUUGAGGGCAUA